This 630-nucleotide long non-coding RNA is filed under the name Gallus gallus (chicken). The record is from RNAcentral. Lineage: Eukaryota; Metazoa; Chordata; Aves; Galliformes; Phasianidae.
CCACAAAAGAUACUCAAGUGUCUGAUUCCCAGCACCAAAAGGCUUAGGAGCUUAACCACCGGUACAGAUCUGGAUCAUCCUGCUGACAAGGAGGCUGAACAAAGAAAACAAUCUGCAUUUCUUGCAGAAACAGGCUCAGUCCCACAGGGAGAUGAGUAUGCGGGAGGAUGCAACAGAAGCCGUGCUGUUCUGAGCCCCGCUCCUCGGGCUCCAAGUCAAAGUUUGUGCUUUCAAAUCCAAGUUUCACUCCACAGAACCCACGGCUGCUGUGCCAGAAGCUUCUCGGCAGGCAGGGCCGGGCGGAGGGCUCCUCCUGGAAUCGGGGUGGGGAGCGCAAGGCGGUCGGAAACCCGAAGAGGGGAAGAGGGGAAGAGGAACAAACCCAGCACCACGGCCGCCCAGGCGAAAUCUGUACUGGGAAGCAAAAUCUGUACUCGGGGGCAAAAUCCACGGUCGGAAGCAAAAUCCACACUCGGAAGCAAAUUCCACGCUGGGGGACAAUGGCAAGAAAAGAUUUCCUGAGGAGGAUAUUAUGUGGUGAUAGAAGAUAAGAUCUUCUCCCCUUACAAUAAAAGCCCCAAACAGCUUUGGUUUUUCUCAUUCACCCAGACAGAAGCAAACUUAAGGAAG